CUGCGACUUACCACCAUAUGAAAAAGUUACAUCUGUCCACACAGAAAAUUGCAUCUCAACAAACCUGUCAUUGGUACGCGAACUACAUUUCAGUCACUCAGUAAAGUGAUAACUCAAAAUAUCAGUGUCAACAGAUCUGGAGAAAUUGCCACUGCGUCUUUAGACCGCUUUCGUCAGACGAGAGACACAGUUCUGACUCUGAUUACUGGUUGCUGUACGUAUCUAUCCACAUCAAGGCUGUUGAGAGAGUCGUGAAGAUUCAAGACAGCUCUUAGAAGAUUUUGCAGUUUAAAAGUGACAUAAUUAUGAAAUAAGUGUGCAGAUGAGUGGUUAAACUGUGUUUUAUUGA
Schistocerca cancellata (South American locust) is the source of this 349-nucleotide long non-coding RNA. RefSeq lists it as uncharacterized. NCBI's taxonomy places the organism in Eukaryota, Metazoa, Arthropoda, Insecta, Orthoptera, Acrididae. The record is from RefSeq and is a predicted model, not a curated record. The transcript is spliced from 3 exons.